UUUUCAUUUGGCUAACUCGCAUUUUAAUAUUUAUAUUCAUUUAAUAUUCAUAAAACCUCGACCAAAACGGUAAAAUAAAGGAAAUAAUAGAGUGAUAUUGGAUUGAAAAUGAAUUUUUAAAAUGAUAUAUUUCUAUCAACAUGCGAAUUUUCUUAAAGCUCUCUUAGCAUUCAAGUUAAUCGAGUUUCAAUAAGAACUGGUAUGAAAUAGUCAUUAGACUGGCUGCUUUACAAAUGCACUUAUAGACUCAAUAUCCUAAAUAUAUCUUAUCGAACUUA
Drosophila sechellia is the source of this 278-nucleotide long non-coding RNA. RefSeq lists it as uncharacterized. The record is from RefSeq and is a predicted model, not a curated record. NCBI's taxonomy places the organism in Eukaryota, Metazoa, Arthropoda, Insecta, Diptera, Drosophilidae. The transcript has 2 exons.